Molecule: long non-coding RNA, 1279 nt
Organism: Hyla sarda
Lineage: Eukaryota; Metazoa; Chordata; Amphibia; Anura; Hylidae
Exons: 3
Source: RefSeq, a predicted model, not a curated record
CUGAUUGGUUGCUAUGGGCAACUGGUCCACUUCUCCUCUCCACAGGAUUUGAUCCCUGAUUGUCUUCAUAUAUAGGAUGAGAAUCUUCUGACACAAAACAAGCACCUUCACUCAUAAAAGACGCUGAUAAAACCGCUGUCACAUAUGCCAUCUGAGGAAAUCUUCAGAAAGAAGUUGAAGCCUAACCUAUCCCAGCCUCUCUAGAGAGAGAAAAUAAGGUGAGGAGGCCAGCCAGAGAGUAUAAUAUCAGGCAAGAAUAGAGUGAAAAUAUCCAGUUGUGCUUUGAGUAAGUAAAGAGGAGAUGUAAGAACAAUCUAAAUCAUGGAAGGUAGAAGGUCUUAUCUGUGGGGGUAGGAUUCCAUAGUGUGAUACUAGCAAAUACUGUGAGACAAGUAACAAGCAUGUUUGCCUGCUUCAGCUACAACAUGGAAAAAUGCAUACCAGGUCCUCCUGCCUCUGAACUACACUGUUACAGACCAACACCUGAGAGCUCCACAUUAUCAAAGGAUUCCUAUCAGGGAGCCAGGAAUACUGUGAACCAAGGAUAUCUGUCCCUGUGAUAAAGAAACAGAACACUAAUAGACUAGCGUUAUAGAGAGACUGCACACUGCUAAUAUUCAUAUGCCCUGGAGAACUACUACCACCAUCAUCUAAGUACAGCCCUCUCUUCCCUUUGCCAGCCUAAGGAGUGUGGGAGUGUGAGUGCACGCCAGCUACCUUGACCUAAACCUAACCGUGACAACUCUCGCUAUUUCCAUAGUCUCUUCCAUUAUUCCAUCUAUGCUUCCUUUGCCCUCCAUCUACACUACCAUAUUCACUUAGUGGUGAUGCAUACAGCACUGUAUGCAUGGCUGCUCAGUUGCACAUAGAUGAGUUUAGGUGGUGCAUUGCUGUCUUGGACAAAAAAAACUAAGAUUAUUUUGGAGUCAGUUUUUUUGUAAUUCAUUAGAUGAUCAGCUCUUCAUCAGGUUGUCUCUUCAAUAGCCGCAUCACUAGCACCAAGGAUUAUAUUUUGAGAAGAGAAAAUUGAAUUCUAGGAACAUAGCUGGACGAGUUGAGGUUUCAACAACAUUUUCUUGAACAAACACAGUUCAGACAAAAAAAUAGUAUUGAAAAGUACUGAAAAAGUUGUAAUACAAUGUAAUACUGUAAUAUCUGAAAUCAAGGUGGAUCAAAUCAUAAAUAAUGAUUAAGGCAAAUACCGACAUCAACAUUAAGAAAAUGAUAACACAAAUAAUAAUGUCAUAGAAAUAGAAAUAACUGAAACAAUAAAGAUGUA